Molecule: ribosomal RNA, 403 nt
Filed under: bacterium
Lineage: Bacteria
Description: partial 16S ribosomal RNA
Rfam family: Bacterial small subunit ribosomal RNA
Source: RNAcentral
UGGGGAAUCUUGCAUAAUGGAGGGAACUCUGAUGCAGCGACGCCGCGUGAACGAAGAAGGCUUUCGUGUCGUAAAGUUCUUUUAUAUGGGAAGAUAAUGACGGUAUCAUAAGAAAACGCUCCGGCUAACUACGUGCCAGCAGCCCCGGUAAUACGCAGGGGGCUAGCGACGUCCGGAAUCACCGGGCGUAAAGGGUUCGCAGGUGGAAAUGCAAGUCUGGUGUAAAAGGAAGUAGCUUAACUACUGUAAGCAUUUGAUACUGCAUAGCUUGAGAAGGGUAGAGGUGAGUGGAAUUUUUAGUGUAGUGGUGACAUGCGUUGAUAUUAAAAAGAAUACCGGUGGCGAAGGAGACUUACUGGGCUCCUUCUGACGCUGCGGAACGAAAGCGUGGGUAGCAAACAGG